GAUUAUACUUUUAUUUAAUUUUGGCUAGUCACAUUUUUUCCAAAAUGAAUACAUUUACUUUUUAUGACAACUCACAUUUUUCCUAAUGCCUAUAUUUUCAAUAAAUAAAAGUUUAGUCUAAAUAUUAAAUGACAAAUGAGUGCUACGUAAACGUUUCACUGACCAAAGUCUUCUUAAUAUCUCAUCCAAUUUGAAGCAAAAUAACACUUCAAAUACAAUCUGAUGCUCAAAACUAAAAUCAUCACAUUGAGCUAAAAACAUCAUCUGACAUUUGAUUCCUUUACAAUAACGUAGCUAACAGAUCUCUAGUCAUUGUAAUAGAUUCAAGGUCUAAAAAGCCCAAAAGUGAGAACAAAAAGGAAUGUCAAUAAGGUAAAGAUGAAACGACGGAUGGUUUGAUGAAAUGUUUGAUUGUUUGAUAAAAUAUUUUGUACAAUAAGAACUACGUAAUAGAACCGAAACCAUAUACAAUCAAACAUAUCGAUAAUAACCUCGUUUGUUCACAAUAUUUUAUAUAUAUAUAUAUAUAUAUGUGUAUAUAUAUAUAUGUAUAUAUAUAUAUAUAACAAAUAUUAUAACAUAAUAUGAAAUUUAGUUUCGAAAAAGCUUGACUUUCAUAGUGAAGUGUUGUUAUAUAUGAAUGUUGUUAUAGAAAGGUUUGUCAGUAAAUAUUGCAUGAAUUACAACAAAAAACCUAUGAUAUGUAAUGUGGACAAAACAAAGCUAAGAUGUGAUUUAGAGGAUGAAUAGAGAUUUGACACAUUCUUUGAAAUUUUCAUGUGAGGUAACAAAGAAGCAACUUGACCACAUGUGUUUGUUGGAAGAGGAUUGCUAUUAAUAUUUGGAGGGAGGCUUUUAGGCUAAGGGAAUUUUGGNNN
RNAcentral lists this long non-coding RNA (878 nucleotides) under Nicotiana benthamiana. Its description in RNAcentral is "long non-coding RNA (NBEN_LNC016214)". Lineage: Eukaryota; Viridiplantae; Streptophyta; Magnoliopsida; Solanales; Solanaceae. The record is from RNAcentral.